AGAGCCUCAAAGAGCACCCAGCAUAACUGUGGGAGAAUAGUAAGCAUUGGACACAAAAUGGUUUAGGCAAAUAAUGAUGAACAAAAAUGGUCAGUCUGUGUUCCUGCUGACCCAGCACAGUGGGGACGCUGUGUAGGACAUGACCUUUGGGGGAAAGGACACAAGAACUCAGCGUGGGGGAUCCAGAAAAGAAGUCGCACGUAUUGAAGCCAGUAACGCCAAGCCAGUGAAUUCUCCUUGACGAGAAAGACCCACUUACUCUGCAGAAGAGAUAUAUGACAGCUGACAAUCCCUGGAGGAGAAUCUUUCUACUAAAUUGUAACUCCAGGUUGAAGAACUUCUACUUAUAGGCAUCUAUUCAACGAAGACGAAUCCUGGAAUGGGGAUGGAAAUGAUGGCUCAUGUCUUAGCAAACUACCAAACUGAUCCGAGAGGACAGGGAAGUCAGUGUGGGCGGCUCUAAGGAGCCUCCCUCUCUACAGCUGCGGCUCAGAGGAUUACGGCGCUUCAUCCACAAGGCAACAUUGCACAAGUAGCUUUUGAACAAAAGUCAUGGAUACUAUUAAUGAUAUGUUCCCACACACAUUUAGUGUCGUCUCAAAAUUCACGCUGUCAACUGUCUCUAGGAAUCAUUUCCAUCUGAGAACAGACCACACAAAGACACAGUGAAACUCAGUUUCUGCAGAAUUUGAUUUCAUUUGAGUUACUGGGGAACAAAGCAAUUAGACAAUGAAUAAUAGCUCAAGACAGGCUGAAGCUGAAGAUUUCUGCAAAAGAAUGAAGAGGAAACGUUUUGAUCCUGAGCAGAUGUUCUCCCUAGAUUGCUUCACCUGAGGUUGAUUGACUUUUGGAAACGAGAUUUGUUCCCAGUGCUUUGUGAGUCUCUUGUUGGAAGGACUGUCUUUAAAUUAAAGCAAUUAGAGUUACUUUAUAAGAUUUACCCAAAUAUAAGAGCUGAAGAGAAUAAUUCAAAUUGAUCAGAAGAAAAUACUCAAUUACUGACAAAUGUCAAUUACAUCAAUAGCCUAGGCUGCUCUUGAACUCCUGGGCUCAAACGAUCCUCCCCUGUCGGCCUCCCAAAGUGCUGGGAUUACAAGCUUGAACCACCAUGCCCAGCCUCAGAAAUUUUUUAAAUGACAGCUCAUACAGUUUUCUUUUAUAAAGGAGGAGAAAAUGUGUAAUUGUAAGCAGCUGAACUAAAAUAUCUCUGUGACAUUUUGCUGGUGACUCCAGCCCUGUGAGAUCUGAGUGGCUCAGGAAUCAAAUUCUCCCACAAACCUGAGGAAGCCUUUUAUUCUUAAUGCCAACAGGAUGCCCCAUGCCCAGAAUGUCAAAUCUGAACACCAAUGGAAUGCAUUUUAUAAACAAAUUGAAAAAGGACAAUCUUUAACAGAAUUGUUGUUCUCUAGGCAGAUUAGUUGUGCUUCAAAUACAAAAUGAAAUAUUAGAGAACAAAAUUAUUUUUAAACAGCUAAUACUAGUAGAAAAUAAAAGGCUGAAAAGUGC
This 1506-nucleotide long non-coding RNA is filed under the name Homo sapiens (human). RNAcentral describes it as "long independently transcribed non-coding RNA 2436, transcript variant 5 (LINC02436)". The record is from RNAcentral. Lineage: Eukaryota; Metazoa; Chordata; Mammalia; Primates; Hominidae.